AUUGAACGCUGGCGGCAUGCCUUACACAUGCAAGUCGAACGGUAACAGGUCUUCGGAUGCUGACGAGUGGCGCACGGGUGAGUAAUACAUCGGAACGUGCCCAGACGUGGGGGAUAACGAGGCGAAAGCUUUGCUAAUACCGCAUACGAUCUGAGGAUGAAAGCAGGGGACCGCAAGGCCUUGCGCGUUUGGAGCGGCCGAUGGCAGAUUAGGUAGUUGGUGGGAUAAAAGCUUACCAAGCCGACGAUCUGUAGCUGGUCUGAGAGGACGACCAGCCACACUGGGACUGAGACACGGCCCAGACUCCUACGGGAGGCAGCAGUGGGGAAUUUUGGACAAAGGGCGAAAGCCUGAUCCAGCAAUGCCGCGUGCAGGAUGAAGGCCUUCGGGUUGUAAACUGCUUUUGUACGGAACGAAAAGGCUCUGGCUAAUACCUGGGGCACAUGACGGUACCGUAAGAAUAAGCACCGGCUAACUACGUG
This 482-nucleotide ribosomal RNA is filed under the name uncultured bacterium. RNAcentral's name for it is "partial 16S ribosomal RNA". It matches the Rfam family "Bacterial small subunit ribosomal RNA", at positions 30 to 507 of the family's 1533-position model. The record is from RNAcentral.